AGAGUUUGAUCCUGGCUCAGAAUCAACGCUGGCGGCGCGCCUAACACAUGCAAGUCGAACGAGAAAGGGGAGCAAUCCCUGAGUAGAGUGGCGUACGGGUGAGUAACACGUGGGUAAUCUGCCCUUUGGUGGGGAAUAACCCUGGGAAACCGGGGCUAAUACCGCAUAAGUCCGAGAGGAGAAAGCAGCAAUGCGCCGAAGGAGGAGCCCGCGGCCGAUUAGCUAGUUGGUAGGGUAAAAGCCUACCAAGGCUAAGAUCGGUAGCCGGCCUGAGAGGGCACACGGCCACACUGGCACUGAAACACGGGCCAGACUCCUACGGGAGGCAGCAGUGGGGAAUCUUGCACAAUGGGGGAAACCCUGAUGCAGCGACGCCGCGUGAGCGAUGAAGCCCUUCGGGGUGUAAAGCUCUUUCGGCAGGGAAGAUGAUGACGGUACCUGCAGAAGCAGCUGCGGCUAACUACGUGCCAGCAGCCGCGGUAAUACGUAGGCAGCAAGCGUUGUUCGGAGUUACUGGGCGUAAAGGGUGUGUAGGCGGUUUGGUAAGUCUGGUGUGAAAUCUCCCGGCUCAACUGGGAGGGUGCGCCGGAAACUGCCGGACUCGAGUGCGGGAGAGGAGAGUGGAAUUCCUGGUGUAGCGGUGAAAUGCGUAGAUAUCAGGAGGAACACCGGUGGUGUAGACGGCUCUCUGGACCGUAACUGACGCUGAAACACGAAAGCGUGGGUAGCAAACAGGAUUAGAUACCCUGGUAGUCCACGCCCUAAACGAUGCAUAUUUGGUGUGGGUCAUUCAGUUGAUCCGUGCCGGAGCUAACGCGUUAAAUAUGCCGCCUGGGGAGUACAGUCGCAAGGCUGAAACUCAAAGGAAUUGACGGGGCCCGCACAAGCGGUGGAGCAUGUGGUUCAAUUCGACGCAACGCGAAGAACCUUACCUGGGCUCGAACGC
Molecule: ribosomal RNA, 946 nt
Filed under: uncultured bacterium
Lineage: Bacteria
Description: bacterial SSU rRNA
Rfam family: Bacterial small subunit ribosomal RNA
Source: RNAcentral